Molecule: ribosomal RNA, 492 nt
Filed under: uncultured bacterium
Lineage: Bacteria
Description: partial 16S ribosomal RNA
Rfam family: Bacterial small subunit ribosomal RNA
Source: RNAcentral
AGUGAAUGCUGGCGGUAGGCCUAACACAUGCAAGUCGAACGGCAGCACAGUAAGAGCUUGCUCUUACGGGUGGCGAGUGGCGGACGGGUGAGGAAUACAUCGGAAUCUACUUUUUCGUGGGGGAUAACGUAGGGAAACUUACGCUAAUACCGCAUACGACCUACGGGUGAAAGCAGGGGAUCUUCGGACCUUGCGCGAUUGAAUGAGCCGAUGUCGGAUUAGCUAGUUGGCGGGGUAAAGGCCCACCAAGGCGACGAUCCGUGGCUGGUCUGAGAGGAUGAUCAGCCACACUGGAACUGAGACACGGUCCAGACUCCUACGGGAGGCAGCAGUGGGGAAUAUUGGACAAAGGGCGCAAGCCUGAUCCAGCCAUACCGCGUGGGUGAAGAAGGCCUUCGGGUUGUAAAGCCCUUUUGUUGGGAAAGAAAAGCAGCAGGUUAAUACCCCGCUGUUCUGACGGUACCCAAAGAAUAAGCACCGGCUAACUUCGUG